CCUUAGCCUCCCUCGCACGAAAAAAACCAUCCUCUCGAUCCACCCCUCGUGCGACCGCUCUCUUCUCCUCUCCUCCCGAUGCGGCGCUGCCCCCAUCUCUUGCUCCGCCGCCGCCCGUCACCUCCUCGGCCUCCCCGCCGCCCCCUCCGCACGACGCCUCACCGACAUCGAUCUCGCCCCUAAGGACUCAACUCCGCCGGCCUCGCCAUCCUCUCCAUCACUGUGGUCACGGUCUCUGGCGCCGGCACGGACGUUGGCGGCGGUAAGGCGAGGGCUCGCGGCGAGGGAAGCACCGUGGAGCCACUCGAUCCCGCGCCUCCACCGACCGCAGCCUCCUCUGUUCAAUCCACCCCUCCACCAUCCAACGCCUCUCUCUCCCUGGCCUCCCGAUCCCAGCCGCCAGGAGGCACCCCACCCCGCGCGACGCUCGAUCCGGUGUCGCGCCGAUCUGGCGGCGGGUGCAGCGUCUUGCUCCGAUGGCGACGACAUCCUGCUGAUCCAGGGAAAGGGAGAGACAGGGCGUAAGGGAGAGAGGAAAGAGAGGAAGAAAGGAGAAGGAGAAGGGGCACAAGGCGAGGAAGGCGGUCGCGGGCGGUGGCGGCUCUGGUGACCGGCCGGCGGGUAGGGAGACGAGCUCCUGUUGAGGCGGCGGGGCUCGGUGCGGGCUGGUUCCGCCGGAUCGAGCCUUGGCUCUCCCAAGGCGGCGGUUGCGGGCUUGGAUCAGGGUGGUCCUUCUCCCCCGCCCUCCCCCUCCAUGGCCAAUGGCACAAGGUGCGGCGACCUCUUCGGCCCCCUGCCAUGGCUCCUGUCUCUCCCCCCCACCAGUGCCCUCCUUACCCCUUCCCCACUCCCGGCUGAUCCCCAAGGCUGCACCCUCCCGCUUUCAUUAGAUCUGGUCCGGACAGGACCGAGUUCCCCCGAUGGCCUUGAUAGAGCUGUGCGAGGAUGAGGAGACCAUCACCUGCUCUAGCUGCGCAAGGCCACGCAGAGAGGCCGACCUCAUCCUCCAUCAAGGUCUUGACUCCAAUCUUCGGACAGAACAAUGUAAUAUAUAUAUGCAGCUUGCAGUCUUUGUCACCCUGUGACAAAUCUGGGUCCUAUGCAUACUAAAUGUGCAUCUUGGCCUGGCUCUUGGCACACGCACAAUCCAUCAGAUGAACAUAGCACUCUUGGAGUACUCAUGUAUUUCCUAGAGCAAUAUUACUUACAUUUAGUUUCAUGCCAUCAUGGAAAUUCAGACGGGCGUUUCGCAGAGUGUUCAGAAUAAUACUUUGCAAGGGACAGCAGCAUGAUGUCAAGCAGCAGCAGCAGCAGCAGGUUCUGCAGCUUCGACGACCCUGGUGAGUCCACGGUCGUGCUCAACUCCUGCCAGGAGGGCGCGAAGGAGUUUCCCCUUGAACCCCAUGACCUGAUUCUCAGAUCGGAUUGAAGGUGUAUCUGUAUUUUACUUGUGCAACAUGAAGAUUUCAGAAGUUGAAGCGAAUGGAAAGAUAGAAGAGGGUUUGAAAAAUAGGGAGAACAUCCAACAACGGGUAAGAAUUAUUUGUAUAUUGAUAUUGAGAAAUUACAUCUUUGUUUGAUUGAGCAUUUUUAGCUGGAGCUGCAGUGCAACCAUGGUACUAGAUGCUGGUUUGCCUCUUCUCUUCUAACUUAAUAAGAUCUGAUGUGUUUGUGCUUAAAUGAUUCUUGAUGAUGAGCUGAUAUGAUUAGUAGAUAUCUGAAACUAAUGGAUCAUAUAUCAGGCGUCAAAUCUGAAUUUUCACGCGUGUGCACUAAUGAAUUUUCACGCAUGUGCACUAAUGGGUCAUAUAUCAGGCUUGUCUGAAUUGAUUUGUGGAUAUGCUGCACUUCACGGUUUUACUUCUACCCACAGUAACAUCUCUUGACUAUUACAUGAUCAAUGUAUUCGUGAGGAAUUGCAGGUUUUCUUUGCCUCAAAGGUGCACACAUACUGUAGUUAGCCAUUGAUGGUUUUGUGGCUUCAGCCAUGAUACUAAAACGGUUCUCAAUUUUGUGAUUCAUUGUAGUCAAUGGGUACCACGUAUUUGUUUCGAUAGAAGGUGACAUGUUUCUACUUCUUACACUACAAUCGGCCCCGUAGAUGGACAUAAAGGAUAUUUGCCUGAUGAAAAUGUGCUUUUGAGUGCAGUGAAUUUUGCCUGAUAUGUAUUCUUGAUGUAUGGUGGAUGGGAAAGAGCGAUGCGGCCUUUCUGUUGAUCCAUCGCCAAUUGCUCCUGAUCUUUCCCUUCACAUCAGCCCUCUGUCGCCGGUGGAUGGCAAAGGAGAGGUGCGGCUGGGGCUCCAUGAGGCGGCCGCAAAGAAGCAAUGUGAUGGUUUUGUUUGCCUAUUGGUAUCUCAGCGUGGGUUCUUGAGCCUGAACGGGUAAUUAUAAGUAGUAACUGAUAAAAUCAGAUGGUCUCUUGCAAAUUGCUUUUGGGGAGGCUGCAUGGUGUUUCUUUGAUGCCCUUUUCCGCUGUCAUUAAAAGAAUAGAAAGCCAUACAAAUGUAUCCAAACGUUGUGUUUGUACUAAAUUUAAUUUUCAUUUGUGCAUAUUUAAGAUUAACCCUUACUGUUCUUUAAAAUUCACUUCCUUUUGUAUUCGAUACAACAUCUUCUAUGAGCAGUACCCAACUCAGUACUGGAACUGAUGAACAUUAAGGAUCUUACACUCCCUCAUGUUAAGAGUCACCUACAGGCAAGUAACUAUAACAAAGACUUCUUUCCUACUAUUUUUUACCUGCAUCUAUUCAUGUAUAUGCUAGCUCAAACAUCUUUUUCGCCGUAGUGGUUUGUUAUUAGUUGAUACCAAGUACCUAUUCUCCCUUUUUGCCUUUAAUCUUCUGCUCUAGAUACAUUUGUAUUAACUUUGAAAAAAACAAAUGACAUGAAUUAGAUUAAGCUAAUCAACUUCUCAUUAUUCGUAUUUUUUUACUUCUUUUCUUGCAUGCAGAUGUACAUUACAUUGAAGGGCACAGACAAAUCAUGAGUUGCACAUAAAACUCGUGGUGCCUAGAUCCUGCACACCUUGUUACCUUUGAAAUUAAUUUCAUGGCUUGAGUUAUCUAACAUAUAAAGCCUCCUAGAGUACCCGCUAUCCUGAAGCCUUCGCGUCGCGCAUGCGUUUUCCUUCGCACGAUUUCACUGCGACAGCGAUUUUUACGGUGCUGUCAAAGUCUUGGCCGUUCGUUGUUCGUGACUCCUUCGUUUCGCUUUUCUUGUAUGAUAGGUGGGCCUCAAUUGCCCUCGGGCCCAGCAUUCUGGUGUGGCCUGUGUGUGUGCUGGGUGAGAAAAGGAGGAGAAUGGGGGUGGAUCGUGGUGCGAGGUGAAAACUCAGCCACCAAUCCCCCACGUCUCCGAGCAACCAAUCCAGGCCCCGCUCCCCUCCCUCUCCACCGUGCCGCCUCCUCCCCUUCUGCCCUGCUCUCCACCACAUCUCCUCUCCUCCCCUUUACUGUCCUCUCCGGCGGCGGCGCCAAUCUGCGGGCAAAGGGAGACGGCGGGGGCGCCAAUCUGUAGGCAAAGGGAGACGACGGCAGCGCUCGAUUCAAUCUGCGGAAGAGAGAAGAUGGAGGGAGAGAGAGAAGGGGAAGAGAGGAGGGAGAAAGAGAGAGUAAAGAGGAGAGAGAGGUGAGGCGGCUGGCAGAUAGGGUCACCGGAAGGAGCGCCCGCUUUUCUUUCCGGCGGUAGCGCCGACCUGCAGGCAAAGGGAGAAGAUGAGAGGGAGAGAGAGAAGGAAGGAGAGGGGGGAGAAAGAGAGAGGAAAGAGGAGAGGGAGGUGUGGUGGAGGACGGGAGAGGGUCACCAGAAGGAGUGCCUUUCGAGGUCGUGCGCCGGCCGGAGCAGCAGGAGCAAGGAUCUGGCGGCCUCUGCCUCCCCGUUGCACGCCAGCACCGCAUCUCCUUCAUAUUUUAUUUUCAGUUUUCACAUGUUGAGCUAUAGGUUGGCUUGAUCUCUUGUGUUAGGGACGUGUGAGGUUGAACGACUGAAAAUUGUUACAGAACUUUCCCUAUGGCCGGUCUGUUUCACAAUUGUCUUAUCAUAAUGCUAAAGAAGUCUCUUUUUUGCAGGAAGCCUUCCGAUCUGUGGAGAAUAUUCAUGGCUUGGUGAACAUGGUUAAGAGAACUCCAAAACCAUCUGUCAUUGUCUUAUAUUAUGCCAAACUAACUGAAAUAUCCUGAAUAUCCGAGUCACUUGUAUCAUGCGUAUGCAUCGCUGAAGCUUUUCAUCUUGCAAAAGAGCUACAAUAAAAAAUUAACUCAGAAGUGACCUUUUCAAUUUCUCCCUCGUAUCCAAGUGUGACAAUAGAGAAAUGGUUUCUAGAGCUCGCCGUGGAUCCUUUUUUGGCUGCUGUGAUUUUUUUAACAUGCUGCCAAAAUGUUCAAUGUCUCUGUUAUCACAUGGAUUUAGUCUUCCAAUGCAUUCUCGUCGAACAAUGUAGGAUGUGAGCUUCUUCGGCUUCUUCCAGCGGCCCGGCCAUGACGUCCUCAAGCCGCCGACGCUCAGAGCGACAUCAAUGGCCCUCUCCCAAGCUGCACUGCUCCUGAUCUUCAUCGCCUCACACUGUUGUGCUCCGCACAGUUCAGCCUGACCAUGAUGUUCUCAAGCCGCCGAUGGUCACAACACACGUGGCGACCCGCUCCCAAGCUGUGUUGCUUUUCCAUCAGCGCUGACAAACUUAGUUUGUUUUUGAAUGUGGGCAUCAGGUCUCCGAGUCGUUUAAAUCUGAACGCAAGACCAAGGCUACUAGCCUGAGCAUUGCGGAACAAAGCAGGAAAGCAUUUGCUGAACUUAAUAAAAGCAAGCAUGGAAUUUAAGUAGGUUCAGGGUGUGGUGGACAAGGACGCCUCUGCCACAGCACCUGCAUCUUCAUCUCUGCCAUGUGUCUUCUGAUUACCACAGUAACACAAUUUUCUUACUCAUGCUUUGCGCUUAGUAUAUUUCUUCACUCUGAAAAGUUAACUUUUGUUGGUUGCACGUCAAGUAACAAAGGUAAUACUUUUUUGUUGCUUCAUUGGCAUGGUUAGUUUUACAUCAUUUACUAAGUUGAAAGCAGUUGAGAUGUAUGCCUUAAUAUCUGUUGUUUUGUUGCGUGUUGCUAUUCCUUGAGGCCACUCCAAGAUGAUCGUUAUUUCUUAUGCAGACAAAUAAUUGCUGUAACAUGAUUACAUUUACUGAUUGGCGUAGCUGUACUUUUGGAUGGCAGUGUUCAUAGCUUAGUGGCAGUGUUUUAGAUGUCUUUUUUUCCUGUAUCCUAUUGGUGCCUUUGGAAAUUAAGAAUUACUUUCUUUUUAGGAUUCUUGCCGGAGGAGACGAACUUUUAUGGAUUCUUGCUGGAGGAGAUGAACUUUUUUGGUGUGUUUUUUCCCCUGUAUGCGUCGCUUCAGAUCAGGCUGAUGCUGUUGUUAUUAUGGAUGAGCUGUUGAAGGCCAAGGUUUUCCUUGUGAGAAUGCCAUAGGUACAAGAAAAGAUUGCCUGAAAGGUCUUUAUGGUUUAUUCUGCAAGGUUAGAGGCCUGCUGAGGCUAGCGUGAGGUCUGCUAUGGCAUCGAUGAUCUGGGUGUCAUGACUGUGAGGACUGCUCGCGCCUCUCCGCUCACAAACCGUGUGACAGAGUAAAUACUCUGGUCCACAACAAUUAGACCUUCCUCCCUCUCAGCUAUGGUAUUGCAGCACAACAAUCUCCUUCCACCUUCAUUUGUUGGGCUAGAGCGUUAGAAGACAUUCUAAUUUUCUAGCUAUAUUUUGCAAUGUUAGACUGGUCAAAUGUGUUUGUAUAUGGUCGCAGUGGCGUGAGCUUUUUCAUUACUUGAUCUGUUUAUUCAAACUCAAUUUUUCUGUUGUUGUGGAGAGGAGGAUCAUCUGCUCUUUCAUACAUAUUUAUUACCUUCACUAUGAUCAUGGUAUCGAUUAAACUAUUUCUAAAUAAGCUUCUCCAUCAAACAUGUCCUAAUUAUGUCUUUCAAGCUGGGGGUUGCUCACCCAACCUUUCAUGGAAAAAUGGCAAUCUGUUCACUUUGUGAUCAUUUAUUUAUUUUAAGUUGCCUAGGAAAGUUGGACAGACAUAAAACUUGGUCCAGGAACUCCUGGAUAUUGCAAUGUGUACUCUGUUUUCAUCUGAAUUUAUUAGUUGCUAGAGGUUGUACCUUUGACGUGGACCAUAAAUUGUCCAUUUGAGCUGAACUUUCUCCAGAGGAGAAAGUCCCGAUGCAAGCUGCCAUGUUUCUUAGCUGUAAUUUCUUUUACCAUCGUCUGAAGAAUUUCUUCCUACCUGUUUGCUAGGCCUGACCAGUAUUCAAGCACCCUAGCCUUUUUUUCCCUUGGCAAGAAACCUUGGCAGGUGCUAUGAGGUACAGAAGCUGGAGAGAUAGUUCCGAAACUCCUUGAGGGCUUGGAGGGUUUAGGGUGUUUGAAAAUGAGACCCAAAUAAAAUUCUUUUCCAUGUCGUUGUUCUGCUGGAACUGUUAUUCUUAUUUCUCUCGUCAACAAUGGAUAUUGUGCGUAUUCUGUACUAUCAUGCUUUUUGGGAAAUACUUUAAGGCCCUGUUUGGAUUAGCGUUUCUGCUCGUUUUCUGGCCGGUAUAAGAUACGGACGUCCUCUGGUUCGUUUUCAUUUCAGGCUGAUCUUAACUGUUGACCUGUAACUUACACCUGUAGAAUAAAUACACGCGUAUAAAAUUACCCCCAUUCCAAGCGGUGCCUAAAGAUAUCCUGUUCACUUAUUUCUCACUAAAUCCCAUCUGUCCAGGUGCCACAAAGUGCCCAGGCAGCUGGAAGCACACAUAAAACCAUCGAUGCUCCUUUCCGUAGGAGAAAUAAGUGAACGGACAAUCUUUUCAUCUUUGUAUAAAUUCAGAUGUGAUUAGCCAAGUCCAGAAGAUUUGGUCUACUUCUCACUAAAUCCCAUCUGUUCUUCAGAUAAUACUUUUUCUUUGAGUUCAGACGCGAUUAGCCUUCAUGAUGCAUGGAUGCAAAUUUGGACAGUUGGAUUCUUGAUGUGCACAUAAAUACAUUGAGAAGAUGGAACUAGAAUUAAACUUCCGUCCAACUGCAGGUCAAGGUUAGAGUGGUUCUGCAACUAUUUCCAUCUGAAAAGAUAUACUUUGCAGCAUCCUGUAUGAUACGUAUAUGCUCGCAGAGGCGUCCGAGCUGUCGAGGUGAGCAGUGGUGGACAACUAUAUAGUGUGUCCUCUUCUUCCUCGACGAUGCCUCCGUGCUUUCCCAUGUCGCCUCACCAGCCACCACCAACAGCAGUGUAUUGAUCUAUGGCGGGCAAGACCAAAGCACUGCAGCCGCCCGAGGGGCGCCCAAGGCCAAGCCUACACUAGCAGCGGCGAUGACGGAGGCGGAGGCGAAGGAGCUCCCCAAGGCCAUCGCGUGGCAGCUGGUCCAGGACAAGCUCGCCUGGGUUGCCGUGGCCGGCGCCGGCGAAGGAGGAGGGUGGAGGUGUGGUGGACAAGGACGCCAUGGCCGCCUUCGCCACAGCCUGCCACCAAUCCAGAAUAUCACUAUAUCUUCAUCCCUGCCUCUCUGCCACUUCAGAAUAAUAGUUGACGUUUUCACCAUAAAUCUGUGUACUGCAGCAUUUUUAUAGAUACUCUCUGUAAAUAAAAUCUUUUUUUCUUUAAGGGUUCAUAUAUAACUCUGUUACAACAUUGAACUAAAUCCUGAAUUCCUGAUCCUUCCUUGUGUAGCCUUAUCUCAGACAUACGUAACUGAAAAUAAAGCUAUGCACAGAGAAAAGGUGUAGACUCGGUUGCUGGGCAUGAACUCCGGCAUAGACUACUUUAGUUUUCUUCCAGUAAAGGAGAUGUCGAAUGAGGUGUUCUUAUAACUUCUAAGCUUAUAAGGGAAUAUAUGCACUACCAUUGGAGUAGCAAUUUUAGUUCUCAAAUUGUAGUAUUAAAUUAUAUGUGCCAGGAUUAGCAUAGUGAAAAGUGAUAUGCCUCCUAUAUGACCGACUCAUAGACUUAUCUAAAAACUGGAUCCUAUGCUCUGCACCCUUCUUUUGCUUCGUGCCAUUAUUUACUGAUAACUGUUCUCACUAUCUAUAUUUAAACCUUCUCAGUGUAAGAGUGACAAGACACUCUCCUAUCCAUUCAAUUGAUUCCUUUUUUCUUAUCAGUAUUUUCAGGUCAACUACACUAAAAGCAAACUAAAAGAUUCAGAUUAUAAUACGCUCAAGGUCAGGCUUGCAAACAGUGAUCUACACGCCAAUUGUCGCAUCAUGCUAGGAACCGACAAGAGAGCCACCGUGACAACCAACUGGUCUGAGUUCCGCCGCCUUUCAAAAAUCCAUGAAGUAGACUUCUGUACCUUUCGUUUCAAGGUCACCACAAAGCAGCGCCUGGUUCUCAUCGUGCAUUGCCUUUAGAUGAACCAUCAACAACAACGGAAAUCGUAUCUAAAUAUCAUCUAGCAUUUAUGCAGCAACACAGAUUGUGCUAGGCGUGAUGGAAGGUGAUGCUCAGAGAAACUUGUCGAGAUGCUCUACCUGAUGAUGAUUUUAUUGUUUUGUUUGUUCAACAGUAUGUAGCGACACAGAUUGUGCUAGGCAUAAUGGAAGGUGGUGCUCAGGUAACAAAACGGAAACAUGCUUCUCUUUGAAACCGUGCCAAGGCAAUUGCAUUCUUGUUAUUAUUUGGUGUAUACUAUUUAAAAUAGGAAGGAAAGCCAACACAUACUUUUGUUUCCAUUCUCAAAUCGUACCAGUAAGAAGAUUUAUUUUGGAUGAAGAAAAAACUCUGCCAUGCUUGUGUUAAUUUAAAAAGAAUUUUGAUAAUGGCCUGUGCUAAUCACUAAUUUUUAUAUCUUUCUAAGAGGGGUCCCGCCGUUUACAUUAAAUGUUUUCUCUGGUGAAGCGACAACUAUGUUUCCACGUUGAAAUCAGGUAACACCAGGAGGGGUGAGUAUUUAAUGACGGUUCCACGUGUAUGUGCCAUUUAGGUUAUAUUUGAAAUUUAGUGAUAUACCAAUUUGCCUUGAUUCCUAUAGUUUCUUAAUUGAUUGGGCAAUUUUGUUUUGAAUGUAGUAGUUAACUAUUUCAAUGGGCAAAUGAAUACUUAUGAUUGCCUUCGGAGCUUAUAUUCAUUUUCCUUCGAAACUUAUAUUUGUCUAUUAAGAAAUUAGUAGUACAUGAAGCAACAAUGGUAGUAUUGGUCCGUAGAGUCCUACAAUUUCUUUCAAGUGCAAAAUAUACUACAGUAGAAGCACAAAAAAAAUUCACUCAAAAAAAUUACAUGUAAUUUAUUCAGUUCUACAACAGCCAAGGAUGGGGCAUCGCACCGACGACAGUGAACUGUAAUGAGGGUGAGAUGCCGAUGUCUGCGCCGGCGCCAGAGACCGUGACCACAACUCGGGGGCGAGGUGGCGGUGUCAUCGGCAUUGCCAGUGUUGGCCCCUUGAGUUUUGGACCUGCCGAGCUCUGGUUCUGGAAGCUGCCAAUCCCAUCGAGCCCCUCCAGCAGCCUUCAGUAUACAGUUGAGGAGAAUUUAUAAGCGAGUGGAUCAUAUGUACUCUUUUUAUGAUGCAUCUCUGACCAUGCAGUUUCUGGGCCUCACAGAGAAGGUCAAGAAGGAAGAGCUUGUCAAGUCUGCAAUCGAGGAUUUUUCUGUCAGGCUCUGUUGGUGGACGCGAGAGACAUCUGGAUAGAAAGUUCGACUCUUCCUUACUAGAGCCAUAUGACCAAAAAGAUGAGGCUCUUUCCAAGCAUACAAGCAUAAGAUAUGUUAAUAUUGGGAGAGUGUCUCAUAUACUGCUCGAGGUCGGGAGGGUGCGGAGGCUGCUAGAGGAAGCAUUGGAGGCCGAGCUCAGCAGCAAUGAUGAGCUGCUACUGGUGUUGGACCGGGUACGGUCUACGAAGGAACGGGAGUGGGGUGGCUGGUUGUAUCCGCCAGAUUUUUGUGGAUGUGCUUAGCCAAGUUUUGAGAGCAUAUUCAGUAUACCUUGGUUGCCCAUAUGAUUGGUCAUCUCUCAAACAAUGGCACGGCCGCCACCUGAAAAGUGGCUAUCCCUAGCUAGCUGAGGGAUAACCUCAUAACCAAAAAUGCCCCCUUGUUGUGUAUGGUGAAAUUUUGUCCCAUACUAUACACUAUAGAGCUAGAGAAAAGCAACCUAAUAAGCUGAGAUUGUCGAGAAAAUGUGGUUGUCAAAUAGCUGAACUGAAUUGCUCGAAAAAGAGGCAACUACUCUUGUAGCUUUCCAAAAUCUGGAAAACUAAAACAAUUAAACAAGUACUGCUAAUCCAUUGUUUUUCUAAUUCAAGCAGUAAGAGUAGGCCUUUAGGUACUCACCUGGACGUUUGACGUCAUCUGCACUACAUUGCACUUUAUUUUUUGCAUGAUUUACAUUUUGUUCCUACUUAAUAAAAUCAGCAACUCAGUUGAUCUUGUUUCAUGCGCUUGUAGUGAGUUAUUCCUUCGAAUAUAAUCAAUUGUUUCAGUACUAAGCUAUCACAGAACAGAUAUUUGGUGAUGGCUUCCAAAAUAUUUUAGAGCACAUAUGGACAGAAUACCUGAUAUCUCUCUACUUUUAGAAAAACAGUUGCAUUACCGUAAAAGGCUUUCGCCCCGCUUUAUAUUAUAAAGCAACCGCCCACAUCAAGCAUCCCCCAAGGUUCCACACAUGUCCAAACACACACACACACACGCACGGAGGUUCCAAGCAGUUGCAUUACGGAAACUUUUAAUAUCUCUCUACAUUUGAGUUGUUCUUCCCUUUCUACAAAUGAUGCAUGAUCCUUGGGUUUAGAUUGAGAUGCUAGAUGGGAAACUGGUGUUAUUAUCAUCUGCUCAGGUUUUUUUGGGGGUAUCAUAUGGUGUUAUUUUAACAUGUAGAUCGAUGUUGUUUGUGGUUACAUCAAGGUAUGUACCUGAUACUCCCUCCGUCCCAAAAUAAGUUUCUUAACUUUGUACCAAAUUUAGUACAAAGUUGUACUAAGGUCGAGCCACUUAUUUUAGGACGGAGGGAGUGUGUGGUUGUUUUUCUAUUUCUGCAGAUCCUAUAUUGUUGUGUGGUUAUGUCUCCAAGUGUGUCGAUCCCUGUCUACUGAAGUAAACUUAUUUGUUUUCUGUGUGGAUUUCUAUAGGCUUACUGAAGUACAACUUUUUUUGGAAAAUUAAUUUCUGCUUGUUCGAACAUGUUUGAUGUACUUACACAUCAAGAAGAGUGCAUGAGACCUUUUACAAAGCCAUUUGUAUCCAGUAUCCUAUAGUAAAAAUUCUACUGCAUGCUGGUGGAGUUAAGAAUUGGUGUUAUCAUUUGGAAGUGGCAGCAGAUAUUCAUUCCAAAAUAUUUGGGUUUGGCCCUUGGCUUUUUUACUAUUUAUUUAAUGAUGAAGAUAUCAGAUAUUCUUGUUUUUAAAUACAUAGAGCAGGGAAUGACAAAGAGAUCCCAGUGGCUGAGAGAUGU
Triticum aestivum (bread wheat) is the source of this 11405-nucleotide RNA transcript. RefSeq lists it as uncharacterized. The record is from RefSeq and is a predicted model, not a curated record. Lineage: Eukaryota; Viridiplantae; Streptophyta; Magnoliopsida; Poales; Poaceae. The transcript has 16 exons.